GAUGAACGCUGGCGGCGUGCCUAAUACAUGCAAGUCGAGCGAGCAGACGAGCAGCUUUCUCCUCUGAUGUUGUCGCCGGACGGGGAAGUAAAACGGAGUUAACCUACCUAUAAGACUGGAAUAACGUCGGGAAACCGGGGCUAAUCCCGGAUAAUAUAUUGAACCGCAUGGGUCAGGAGUGGAAGACGGCUUUGCUGGCACUUAUGGAUGGAGCCGCGCCGCAGUAGCUAGUUGGUAAGGUAACGGCCUACCCAGGCAACGAUGCGUAGCCGGCCUGAGAGGGUGAUCGGCCACACUGGCUCUGAGACACGCUCCAGCCACCUACGGGAGGCAGCAGUAGGGAGUCUGCCGUACUGGGCGAGAGCCUGACGGAGCCACGCCGCGUGAGUGAUGAAGGUCUUCGGUCCGUAAGACUCUGUUAUUCGGGAAGAAUGAAUGCGCAAUUAACUACGCCCGUCUUGACGGUACCUAAGCAGAAAGCCACGGCUAACUACGUG
RNAcentral lists this ribosomal RNA (497 nucleotides) under uncultured bacterium. Its description in RNAcentral is "partial 16S ribosomal RNA". It matches the Rfam family "Bacterial small subunit ribosomal RNA", at positions 28 to 507 of the family's 1533-position model. The record is from RNAcentral.